Long non-coding RNA from Scatophagus argus, 5745 nucleotides. RefSeq lists it as uncharacterized. The transcript is spliced from 2 exons. Lineage: Eukaryota; Metazoa; Chordata; Actinopteri; Scatophagidae. The record is from RefSeq and is a predicted model, not a curated record.
CUUGCCCAUGUAUCUGUCUGAAAGGAUCCAUAUCAACCACCCCAGCAGUUAUCUUUUCCUAAGACUACAGACUUAAUAUGUCGUGGCUGAUAAGCUGUUCCACUCUCCCUUUGUUAAUGUCAUUAUGCCUUACUUUUUCAAAGGUUACAAGCAAACUGUUUUUAUCAAAGAGCACAAAGCAAAUACAAAAACGAAUUAUCACAGGCGUGACGCCUCUUCGUUGCUUUCCCGCUUAAAGUCAAGCACCUGUGCCUCCAAGUGGAAUUAGAUAUUCUUUGUUUGGGACUGCUGGACUAAAACUAAACUUUUCAGUUUUAGACCAGAUGAAAAAAAAAAUGCACCUUUUAGUUGUUUAUAUGUGAUACCUCUUACCGCUGUACAAUCCUGAUUCUGAAAAAAAGUUUAAUACACAAUGUAAAACACAAAUAAAACACAAUGCAAUGAUCUCCAAAUUCCUUUAAACGCAUAUUCAACUGAAUACAGUACAAACACAACAUAUUUAAUAUUCAAACUCAUAAACUUUAUUUGUUGUAAAACGAUACUUAACUUGAUACCUGCAACAUGUUCCAAAACUGUUGGGAGAGAGGCAUGUCUUGCAUUAAAUUUUCUUAUCUUUUCAGUAAAGUGAGAAACAUUGUUCUUAAACUGUCAGAGUAUUGGACCCCAUGCCCAUCUGUGCUUGUGACCAGCUGAGCCUUUCAAAAAUGCUCUUUUCAUACCUCAUCAUGAUGCUAUCGCCUGUUACCAAUGAACCUGUUUACCUGUGGAAUGCUCCAAAUAUUCCAGUCUUUUGUUGUCCUGAGUUGUUUGGUGGCAUCAAAUUCAGAAUAAGUCAGUAUUUACACAAAAGUAAUGACGCUGAUGAGGUAUAACAUUAAACGUUCUGUCUUUGUACUGUUUUCAGUUAAAUAUAUGUCAAAAAGUCCUUAAUCAGGAUUACCUGAUUAUCAUAUUCUGUUUAAUUUACAUUUCACACAGUGACCCAGCUUUUUUCAAAGCAGGGUUGUAGUAGGUGUGUAUCAUAAAAGGUCUUUGCAAGACUGGUUUGCAAAAUGUGAACCAUAAAAAUGUAAAUUGUGGACUACAAAAAUGUUGGCGUGGGCAUGAGGAUGAACUUUGCACUUUGCUUUUUUAAAAAAGCAAGAACCUAUAGCUUAGUUGUGCCACCACAACCCCUUUGCCUUUGAAAAAAACAUCAACCCAAUAUCUGACAAGUAAUAAAUCAUAUACACCCUUUUUUAAUGAAUUUUUCUGCUAUUUUGGUAAUUAAUCCAAAAGAAUGAGAUGUUAAACUGUAAAACAAACAUUUCGAAUCCUAAAAGGAAAUAUUUUACACGUGACUGUGCCUCAGCUUGGCAUUCCUUCCUUUUUUUUAAAGCCUUACUCUUUAAGUGUUUUUGUCAAACACGAAUAUUUUUUCAGAGGUUCGUGAGGUGUGUAAAACAUGCUUUAAUAUAUUCUGCUCCCAUUAAAACUCAGCAUGCAAGUCUCAUAAGCCGUGUUUACAAAUAAUACAAAUACACUGUAUGCUUCACUCUUCCAAAAUACUUCAAGUCCAGAAUAAGUUCAGCAUCUUGAUGGUGAAAAUAAAUAGCUUGCUCUGACUUCUUCUGGCAUGGCUCCACUUCACCUUAUGUUUAAAUUAAAGCGCAAUUCACCUCCUAAAACACAAACAAAAAGCGUGCUAGAUUUAGACCGUAAAAGCAAGUAGUCCUUCCUACUUCAAACUUGAAAGGUUGCGGCUAAAUGUGUUGGAAGAAAGUUUCAACUGUUGUGAAUAGUUAAGUGCUGUUUUUGAGAUAUCUGAAAAAUUCAGCCCGGUAUCCCUAGCAAUUGCAAUAGGAAGUGCUACAUUUCAUCUCAGAUGGGACAGUCAGUGAAGUCGGUCGGUUCAGACAGGCACAAGUGCACAUUUCCACCAUGUUGCCUAUCAACAUGACGUCACAUACAGCAGCUCCACUGUUCAGCCAUCAACACAGAUAUAAUACAUUUCAGAGGUUGUGCCUCAUUUUUCCAUGCCGUACUUUAACAUAUCAGCUGUCAUAUAAAAUCAAUGGGAAAAAGGCCUUUCUUAAAUAGAAAUGGCACAAAUAAGGGCUGUGUUGGAACAGAUGCAUGCCACGUACACAAACAUAUACUAACAUCACCUUUCACUUUAAACCCCCAAUUAUUAAUCAUUUGAUUUCCAAAGAUAUAUGCUGGAAUGGUGAACAAGACGCAGGAUUUUUGAAUGGCCAUCAAAAAACGUGGAGUUUUAGGUUUGAAUCUUGGACUGUGUAAACAAUACAUUCACCCAAGUGCUGGAGCAAACACAUGCAGAAUGUAUCAGUGAUAAUAAGUUGGGCCAUCAACUGGCACAUUAAAGAAAACAUGUUUGCUUCAGUCUAAACAGAAUCAUAGCAAACAGUUAGCGGGCUGUGACUAAAAAGCCAGUGUUUGCUAUACAUUGCUUUGACAUGUUGUCAGCAACUGCCUCUGUGUUGUACGUUUAGAUUUUAUAGAUGCGUACUGUUGCAUUGAAUAGCCACUGCAGCUGUUGUUGGCCAUAUAAAGUUGCUUAGUUUGGGUCAGUCCCAUUUAUGACCUCAGCACCCCACUGCGGUGGCACAGCAUUCCUUAUGCAAACCCUAUGGGAAAAGCCAAUAGUACCUGGUGCCAUUCUGGGCUGACAGUAAACAUCUGUAAGUUUGCAAACAUUUUUAAGAUGCAACUUCUUUUUUUGUUCAAUUUUUCCCACUAAGGCUUGUGGAGAUUAAUCCAAAUCAUGGAGUAGCAUACAGCAUAGUGAGGUCACAAAUGUCCUUUCCAUCUAUUACUAGCUAUGGUCUUAUGACUGUAGCCUCCUUUCUCAUAUAUUUAAUCUCAUGCUAGCAAUUACUAGCUAUCAAAGUAGGGCUGGAUAUUGACUGAAAUGUGUAUAAUACUGAAUGCCAAACAACUGACAGAUUCCUUAUUCAUAGUCUUGAAUAUAAGAAUAUAAUAUAAUCAUGAUUUAAGCCACAAUUUAAAUUAAAACUGGAGGAUAACAAUCACUGAUCCAGGUGCCUGGCUACAUGCAUACAAUUGCCUACAAAUGCCUUCUUCAGCCACUAUCACAUGUUACUACUUACUAAUUAUUACUGUAUUUUACUUCAGUAGUUCUUGCCUGAAUGCUUAUGUUCAUAAAACAUUUGGCGUGAUUAAUAUACAACAUGGAGAAAAGAGGAGCCGCUCCAUGUACAGCUAUGAAAGGCUCAUUUCAAAGUAACAAAAACACAAUGAUCGUUAGUUUCAGGUGCUUGUUUGUUAAUCAAAUCAUAAUUCAAUCAAUAUUAUAUUCAUGUUUUUGCCACUCAACCUAAAAUUAGUUUGUCAAACUCCUCUACCCAAGUUCAAGAGCAAACUUUGAUGCUCAUCGUUUGAGUGCUGUUGCUUCUUCUGUAAAAGGAAAAAGAGAUUUUGUAGAACACAGUUUAUACUUCAUAUAUUGUUUUGGUGUCUGUAUCAAAACUCUGCUAUCAUAUACAUGUGACCCACAAAAAAUUCAGUCAAUACUCAGCCCUGUAACAAUGCAACUGAAGGUGGAAAAGUCAGAAAGUUAAUGUUAAUUGUUGAUAAAGAUUACAUAUUUUACCUGUAAAACAGACACUUUUUCUACUUUCCGGAGGCGUUGGACUGCACGCUAUGUGUCAGAAAUGUGAACUUUACAGGCAAACAUCAGCUUCCACCUUUCAAACUUCUUUUCACCUCAGCAGUUAAGAGAUGGUGCAUCUUAUUUUCAUGAAAUAUUUAAUGCAUAUAUAACCCAAUAGCGUUAUCAUUUACCUCACAUACUCAUCUUGUUUUUUCAUGCUCAAAGAUUGAAAAAUGAUAAACUAGAAAAGUUAAAUGCCCCCUUUUUCCUUCCUGAAUAAUAGGACUUGAUGAGACAUGUAAGGAGACAAUAUUUUUCUGGGUUGUGUGAAGAAUUGAAUGUGUAAUGUUUCAAAGCAUUUAUAGAAGUUUGCUAUUUGUUUCUUGUGAAGAUUUGUGGUUUUACAAGAGAUAUUAGUAAACCGCUAUUCUUUUUUUUUUCAUAGCACUUUUUUUGUAAAUUUGAAUGCUUUUAUUUCCUCCAAUACUUUUUUUUUUGUUUAAAGUCUUUAUUACAAAUGUAUAGAUGAUAUAUUUAGCUCUUUUAGAGAACAGUAUCAUGUAAAUACAAUAUAAAAUGUUUUAUUUUUACAGGUACAAUUUUGACAGUGUUUUUUCCUAUCAAAGUGUCAUUUUGCUUUACUUGCACAAGUGUUCUGUGUAUCUCAUUGAGGGGGUCUUUUAACAAACAGUGUACCUUUAACACAGAUUUUUGUAGGCCUAGUUUUUCAGGCCUUCUCUGACUAUUCAACCGCUGGUUUAGGUGAGAGCACAAGGGAUAAUGAAGCUUAAUUAGAUAGCACUUAAUUGUAUCAUCUUUUCAUAGUUUGUUUAAUUAGUUGUUAAAAAAACAAACCAGAUAUAUGUUCAGUAACUCCUAGGAUGAUUUUGUCCAUCAUCCUCUGACCUCAGUGUGACAUAUUAUGACAAAUGAUAAAAAAAAAAAAAAAGACUUCUUAGUGGUUUCUGUAAGAAAGGUGUUGCACGAAUGCAAAGUUUUCAAAUCAGCUAACUGCAGUAUCAACUUUAUGAAUAACAUGACAUGAUCCAGGGAUUUGACGUGGGAGGGUAAAAGCAACAAGCUGUGGAUCAAAGCUGAAAGGUAGAAAAGCUCUACACAUUAAAGUCUAGUAUCAGAUUACAUUCACAAUUCUGAAGUGAAUGUGAACUGUACUAGGAAGAAGAAAUAGGAAAAACAGAAUGUCUCCUAAAGCUGAGUGGUGACCAGACAGGAGAUGCUCUUCAGUGAGAGGCACAGAACUUCAGCAGUUCAUGUCAAACUUCUUUAUAAGCUUCAGUGGUACCAGUGAACUCUAUUGAAUGUGUAUGUAAAAAACACUGCAAUACUGCAAUAUAUUUUGGUAUUGGAUCAAGCUGCUAACAUACUUCUAAAGCUCCUUAAGGUGCUACAGACCUCUUUUCUAGUUCUUAAAUGUAUCGUUUGUACAAAGUAUCCAGUUUAGCUGAACAGUUGGCAAUAUGCCUGGUUGUACUAUAUAGCUACAUAUAUUUUAUUGUACUGUGACUUUUGUAGUCUUUUGACAGACUUGCCUUUAAUAUCACACACAACCCCCUACCCCCUCGACACCUGAGUGUUGUUAUAUUGGGAAACUGAGUCACUGUGUGAAGACAUCAGUGCUGACACUGAGAAACACGACUCCAUGUGACGCCAUUCAAAAUGAGCAGAGGACGUUCAGAGAUGAACUGCAUUCCAGCCAUGUUGGUUUUGUUAUUUGUUGCAUUUCAACAAUGCCAUCCUGUGACAAUGAUGGACUCAUUGCUAAUUCUCAAUAUCUUACUUCAAAUCUAUUUUACAAACUACUGUUGUAUUUUUUAUAAAUAUAGGAAAAGUAAUUCAUAUAUAUAUAUACAUAUACAUAUAUAUGUAUAUGUAUAUAUGUACAUACAUAUAUAUAGGUUUAUAGGUUGUGCUAAAUAAAAAUGAAUGCUCCAGCUUUUAUCCGUUGUUCUUUAAAGAUUGACAUCAUCCAAAGAGGCAGAUUAUUUAUUGUCUGGCAGAAUAACCUGAUUUGAUUUACAUACCUUGCUGCUAUGAGAGAGAAGAGCUGCAGUUGUCAACUCCAGUGUUUUUACAAAAUGUAAUGAAAGUUCAGUAAACAUAAGUGAAGGAUC